CCUACGGGAGGCAGCAGUAGGGAAUCUUCCACAAUGGGCGCAAGCCUGAUGGAGCAACGCCGCGUGGGUGAAGAAGGUCUUCGGAGCGUAAAACCCUGUUGUUAGAGAAGAAAGUGCGUGAGAGUAACUGUUCACGUUUCGACGGUAUCUAACCAGAAAGCCACGGCUAACUACGGGCCAGCAGCCGCGGUAAUACGUAGGUGGCAAACGUUAUCCGGAUUUAUUGGGCGUAAAGGGAACGCAGGCGGUUUGUUAAGUCUGAUGUGAAGGUCUUCGGCUUAACCGGAGUAGUGCAUUGGAUACUGGCAGUCUUGAGUGCAGAAGAGGAGAGUGGAAUUCGAUGUGUAGCGGUGAAAUGCGUAGAUAUAUGGAAGAACACCAGUGGCGAAGGCGGCUCUCUGGUCUGUAACUGACGCUGAGGUUCGAAAGCGUGGGUAGCAAACAGGAUUAGAUACCCUAGUAGUC
RNAcentral lists this ribosomal RNA (465 nucleotides) under uncultured bacterium. RNAcentral describes it as "partial 16S ribosomal RNA". It matches the Rfam family "Bacterial small subunit ribosomal RNA", at positions 338 to 795 of the family's 1533-position model. The record is from RNAcentral.